RNAcentral lists this ribosomal RNA (449 nucleotides) under uncultured bacterium. RNAcentral describes it as "bacterial SSU rRNA". It matches the Rfam family "Bacterial small subunit ribosomal RNA", at positions 328 to 793 of the family's 1533-position model. The record is from RNAcentral.
UUGCCAGACUCCUACGGGAGGCAGCAGUGAGGAAUAUUGCACAAUGGGGGAAACCCUGAUGCAGCGACGCCGCGUGAGUGAAGAAGUAUUUCGGUAUGUAAAGCUCUAUCAGCAGGGAAGAACAUGACGGUACCUGACUAAGAAGCCCCGGCUAACUACGUGCCAGCAGCCGCGGUAAUACGUAGGGGGCAAGCGUUAUCCGGAUUCACUGGGUGUAGAGGGAGCGUAGACGGCGACGCAAGUCUGGAGUGAAAGCCCGGGGCCCAACCCCGGGACUGCUCUGGAAACUGCGUCGCUGGAGUACGGGAGGGGCAGGCGGAAUUCCUGGUGUAGCGGUGAAAUGCGUAGAUAUCAGGAGGAACACCGGUGGCGAAGGCGGCCUGCUGGACUGCAACUGACGUUGAGGCCCGAAAGCGUGGGGAGCAGACAGGAUUAGAUACCCUGGUAUG